RNAcentral lists this ribosomal RNA (490 nucleotides) under uncultured bacterium. Its description in RNAcentral is "bacterial SSU rRNA". It matches the Rfam family "Bacterial small subunit ribosomal RNA", at positions 30 to 507 of the family's 1533-position model. The record is from RNAcentral.
AUUGAACGCUGGCGGCAUGCUUUACACAUGCAAGUCGAACGGCAGCACAGGGAGCUUGCUCCCGGGUGGCGAGUGGCGCGACGGGUGAGUAAUACAUCGGAACGUGUCCUGUUGGUGGGGGAUAACUGCUCGAAAGGGUGGCUAAUACCGCAUGAGACCUGAGGGUGAAAGCGGGGGAUCGCAAGACCUCGCGCAAUUGGAGCGGCCGAUGCCCGAUUAGCUAGUUGGUGAGGUAAAGGCUCACCAAGGCGACGAUCGGUAGCUGGUCUGAGAGGACGACCAGCCACACUGGGACUGAGACACGGCCCAGACUCCUACGGGAGGCAGCAGUGGGGAAUUUUGGACAAUGGGGGCAACCCUGAUCCAGCCAUGCCGCGUGCAGGAUGAAGGCCUUCGGGUUGUAAACUGCUUUUGUCAGGGACGAAAAGGACCGUGUUAAUACCAUGGUCUGCUGACGGUACCUGAAGAAUAAGCACCGGCUAACUACGUG